This 270-nucleotide long non-coding RNA is filed under the name Mus musculus (house mouse). Its description in RNAcentral is "long non-coding RNA chr2:106265306-106265576". The record is from RNAcentral. Lineage: Eukaryota; Metazoa; Chordata; Mammalia; Rodentia; Muridae.
AUUGACAUCCUGCUGGAUACUAUCAGGGAUGAAAUCACAGGAUGCAUUGAGAAGGCCUAUGAGAAAAUCCUUUCUGCUGAGGCUACCCAGAUCCUCUUCUUCAGCACACCCAAAAAGAAGACAGACUAUGACAAGAAGCAAGGUUGUGUGCUGGGCCCUAACAACUACUACAGCUUUGCCAGCCAGUAGCAAAAGCCAGAAGACAGCACCAUCCCCUCUACUGAAUUGGCCAAACAGGUCAUCGAGUAUGCUUGGCAGCUGGAGAUGAUU